This 76-nucleotide transfer RNA is filed under the name Anaerosalibacter bizertensis. RNAcentral's name for it is "tRNA-Val". It matches the Rfam family "tRNA". From Rfam's summary of the family: Transfer RNA (tRNA) molecules are approximately 80 nucleotides in length. Their secondary structure includes four short double-helical elements and three loops (D, anti-codon, and T loops). Further hydrogen bonds mediate the characteristic L-shaped molecular structure. tRNAs have two regions of fundamental functional importance: the anti-codon, which is responsible for specific mRNA codon recognition, and the 3' end, to which the tRNAs corresponding amino acid is attached (by aminoacyl-tRNA synthetases). tRNAs cope with the degeneracy of the genetic code in two manners: having more than one tRNA (with a specific anti-codon) for a particular amino acid; and 'wobble' base-pairing, i.e. permitting non-standard base-pairing at the 3rd anti-codon position. Lineage: Bacteria; Bacillati; Bacillota; Tissierellia; Tissierellales; Sporanaerobacteraceae. RNAcentral also lists the same sequence under 1 other name. The record is from RNAcentral.
GGGCGCAUAGCUCAGUUGGGAGAGCACCUGCCUUACAAGCAGGGGGUCAUAGGUUCGAGCCCUAUUGCGCCCACCA